ACUACAGCGAGGGGACAUUGCCCUAUUCUUAUAAUCUAUGCGUUGCUUCACAUUCUACGACUAUGGCAGGGUUUAAUUUUCACCACGUGGCACCAGCGCUUGCUCCCCCUCGGGACCUCCUGUGCGAUGAUCCUUCUGUGGUUGUAUGUGGCAAUAAUGAAGAGCCCCAAAUCUUGGACGACUCUUCUUUUCAGGUAAGUUUCUACAGAGCAACUUAAAUACUAUUUGCUGUAUUAGCUUCUCGAUCGUGCACAAAUUUGGCAAUUUUGGUCAUUUUUUCAUAGUUUGGGGGAUAUUUCGUGGAGAAUUGCUGUGGAUGCAUAAAGCUUGGCUCUUGAUUACUCAGUCAUCUUGGAAAUUCCUGAUUGCCAGUUUCAGUCUUUACUGUUGGUGUUUCUGUGUGUCUAGCAAAUCUUGCCGGAGACUACUUCCUGUAAAUCAGCACUCAAUAAUAUCAGUGUCCUUUCUAAUUUGAUUCGUGAAACUGCAUUUUAAAAUGAUCUUUAACACUUUAUAAGCAUAUUGAUUUAUUUAUGCCUAAAUUAAAAUUUAUGGUCAAUUACCUUUUUUACUUGAACAA
Molecule: long non-coding RNA, 580 nt
Filed under: Rattus norvegicus (Norway rat)
Lineage: Eukaryota; Metazoa; Chordata; Mammalia; Rodentia; Muridae
Description: long non-coding RNA NONRATT013379
Source: RNAcentral